AGCGUAGGUGGCCUAACAUGUCAACUGUGAAAACCCGGAGCUCAACUCCGGACUUGCAGUUGAAACUGGUAGGCUUGAGGACGGUAGAGGAAGACGGAACUGCCAGUGUAGGGGUAAAAUCCUUAGAUAUUGGCAGGAACGCCGGUGACGAAGGUGGUUUUCUGGGCCGGUUCUGACACUGAUGCUCGAAAGCCAGGGGAGCGAAUGG
This 208-nucleotide ribosomal RNA is filed under the name uncultured Mesotoga sp. Its description in RNAcentral is "partial 16S ribosomal RNA". It matches the Rfam family "Bacterial small subunit ribosomal RNA", at positions 568 to 775 of the family's 1533-position model. Lineage: Bacteria; Thermotogati; Thermotogota; Thermotogae; Kosmotogales; Kosmotogaceae. The record is from RNAcentral.